RNAcentral lists this ribosomal RNA (357 nucleotides) under uncultured bacterium. RNAcentral describes it as "SSU rRNA". It matches the Rfam family "Bacterial small subunit ribosomal RNA", at positions 26 to 376 of the family's 1533-position model. The record is from RNAcentral.
AGAACGAACGCUGGCGGCGUGGAUAAGACAUGCAAGUCGAACGCGAUUUAUCAGGUUAGCAAUAACUUGGUGGAUUGAGUGGCGAAAGGGUGCGUAACACGUGGGAAUUUACCAAGAAGUGGGGAAUAGCUCGACGAAAGUCGAAUUAAUACCGCAUACGAUCGCAAGAUCAAAGCCGGGGACCGCAAGGCCUGGCGCUUUUUGAGAAGCCCGCGGCCCAUCAGCUAGUUGGCGGGGUAACGGCCCACCAAGGCUAUGACGGGUAGCUGGUCUGAGAGGACGACCAGCCACACUGGAACUGAGACACGGUCCAGACACCUACGGGUGGCAGCAGUCGAGGAUUUUUUCACAAUGGAC